AUUGAACGCUGGCGGCAGGCCUAACACAUGCAAGUCGAACGGUAACAGGAAGAAGCUUGCUUCUUUGCUGACGAGUGGCGGACGGGUGAGUAAUGUCUGGGAAACUGCCUGAUGGAGGGGGAUAACUACUGGAAACGGUAGCUAAUACCGCAUAACGUCGCAAGACCAAAGAGGGGGACCUUCGGGCCUCUUGCCAUCGGAUGUGCCCAGAUGGGAUUAGCUUGUUGGUGGGGUAACGGCUCACCAAGGCGACGAUCCCUAGCUGGUCUGAGAGGAUGACCAGCCACACUGGAACUGAGACACGGUCCAGACUCCUACGGGAGGCAGCAGUGGGGAAUAUUGCACAAUGGGCGCAAGCCUGAUGCAGCCAUGCCGCGUGUAUGAAGAAGGCCUUCGGGUUGUAAAGUACUUUCAGCGGGGAGGAAGGGAGUAAAGUUAAUACCUUUGCUCAUUGACGUUACCCGCAGAAGAAACACCGGCGAACUCCGU
This 489-nucleotide ribosomal RNA is filed under the name uncultured bacterium. RNAcentral's name for it is "partial 16S ribosomal RNA". It matches the Rfam family "Bacterial small subunit ribosomal RNA", at positions 30 to 506 of the family's 1533-position model. The record is from RNAcentral.